This 993-nucleotide ribosomal RNA is filed under the name uncultured bacterium. Its description in RNAcentral is "bacterial SSU rRNA". It matches the Rfam family "Bacterial small subunit ribosomal RNA", at positions 8 to 1013 of the family's 1533-position model. The record is from RNAcentral.
AGAGUUUGAUCAUGGCUCAGGACGAACGCUGGCGGCGUGCUUAACACAUGCAAGUCGAACGGAAAGCGCUCUUCGGAGUGACUCGAGUGGCGAACGGGUGAGUAACACGUGGGUGAUCUGCCCUGCACUUUGGGAUAAGCCUGGGAAACUGGGUCUAAUACCGGAUAGGACUACGGCCUGCAUGGGUUGUGGUGGAAAGCUUUUGCGGUGUGGGAUGGGCCCGCGGCCUAUCAGCUUGUUGGUGGGGUGAUGGCCUACCAAGGCGACGACGGGUAGCCGGCCUGAGAGGGUGUCCGGCCACACUGGGACUGAGAUACGGCCCAGACUCCUACGGGAGGCAGCAGUGGGGAAUAUUGCACAAUGGGCGCAAGCCUGAUGCAGCGACGCCGCGUGAGGGAUGACGGCCUUCGGGUUGUAAACCUCUUUCAAUAGGGACGAAGCGCAAGUGACGGUACCUAUAGAAGAAGCACCGGCCAACUACGUGCCAGCAGCCGCGGUAAUACGUAGGGUGCGAGCGUUGUCCGGAAUUACUGGGCGUAAAGAGCUCGUAGGUGGUUUGUCGCGUUGUUCGUGAAAACUCACAGCUUAACUGUGGGCGUGCGGGCGAUACGGGCAGACUGGAGUACUGCAGGGGAGACUGGAAUUCCUGGUGUAGCGGUGGAAUGCGCAGAUAUCAGGAGGAACACCGGUGGCGAAGGCGGGUCUCUGGGCAGUAACUGACGCUGAGGAGCGAAAGCGUGGGGAGCGAACAGGAUUAGAUACCCUGGUAGUCCACGCCGUAAACGGUGGGUACUAGGUGUGGGUUUCCUUCCUUGGGAUCCGUGCCGUAGCUAACGCAUUAAGUACCCCGCCUGGGGAGUACGGCCGCAAGGCUAAAACUCAAGGAAUUGACGGGGCCCGCACAAGCGGCGGAGCAUGUGGAUUAAUUCGAUGCAACGCGAAGAACCUUACCUGGGUUUGACAUGCACCAGGACGCCAGUAGAAGAUAUUGGG